Molecule: transfer RNA, 77 nt
Filed under: Shewanella putrefaciens
Lineage: Bacteria; Pseudomonadati; Pseudomonadota; Gammaproteobacteria; Alteromonadales; Shewanellaceae
Also listed under: 59 other names
Description: tRNA-Arg(acg)
Rfam family: tRNA
About the family: Transfer RNA (tRNA) molecules are approximately 80 nucleotides in length. Their secondary structure includes four short double-helical elements and three loops (D, anti-codon, and T loops). Further hydrogen bonds mediate the characteristic L-shaped molecular structure. tRNAs have two regions of fundamental functional importance: the anti-codon, which is responsible for specific mRNA codon recognition, and the 3' end, to which the tRNAs corresponding amino acid is attached (by aminoacyl-tRNA synthetases). tRNAs cope with the degeneracy of the genetic code in two manners: having more than one tRNA (with a specific anti-codon) for a particular amino acid; and 'wobble' base-pairing, i.e. permitting non-standard base-pairing at the 3rd anti-codon position.
Source: RNAcentral
GCGCAUGUAGCUCAGCUGGAUAGAGUACCUGGCUACGAACCAGGCGGUCGGAGGUUCGACUCCUUCCAUGCGCACCA